AUGCUUUAGGAGGGGCUUGCGCCAUAUUAGUUAGUUGGUAGGGUAAUGGCCUACCAAGACGAUGAUGUGUAGCUGGACUGAGAGGUUGAACAGCCACAUUGGGACUGAGACACGGCCCAAACUCCUACGGGAGGCAGCAGUAGGGAAUUUUCGGCAAUGGAGGAAACUCUGACCGAGCAACGCCGCGUGAAUGACGAAGUACUUCGGUAUGUAAAGUUCUUUUAUCAAGGAAGAAAAGCAAAUGGCGAACCAUUUGUUUGCCGGUACUUGAUGAAUAAGCCCCGGCUAAUUAUGUGCCAGCAGCCGCGGUAAGACAUAAGGGGCAAGUGUUAUCCGGAAUUAUUGGGCGUAAAGGGUGCGUAGGCGGUCUAGUAAGUCAGUGGUGUAAUGGCAACGCUUAACGUUGUCCGGCUAUUGAAACUGCUAAACUUGAGUUAGAUAGAGGCGAGUGGAAUUCCAUGUGUAGCGGUAAAAUGCGUAAAUAUAUGGAGGAACACCAGAGGCGUAGGCGGCUCGCUGGGUCUUAACUGACGCUGAGGCACGAAAGCGUGGGGAGCAAACAGGAUUAGAUACCCUGGUAGUCCACGCCGUAAACGAUGAGUACUAAGUGUCGGGUUAAACCGGUACUGAAGUUAACACAUUAAGUACUCCGCCUGAGUAGUACGUACGCAAGUAUGAAACUUAAAGGAAUUGACGGGACUCCGCACAAGCGGUGGAUCAUGUUGUUUAAUUCGAAGAUACCCGAAAAACCUUACCAGGUCUUGACAUGUUUUUGCAAAAUGAUAGUAAUAUCGUGGAAGGUUACCAGAAACACAGGUGGUGCAUGGUUGUCGUCAGCUCGUGUCGUGAGAUGUUAGGUUAAGUCCUAAAACGAGCGAAACCCUUAUCGUUAGUUGCCAGCACGUUAUGGUGGGGACUUUAACGAGACUGCCAAUGAUAAAUUGGAGGAAGGUGAGGAUCACGUCAAAUCAGCAUGCCCCUUAUGACCUGGGCUACAAACGUGAUACAAUGGCUGUUACAAAGGGUAGCUGAAACGCAAGUUCUUGGCCAAUCCCCAAAAACAGUCCCAGUCCGGAUUGAAGUCUGCAACUCGACUUCAUGAAGUUGGAAUCGCUAGUAAUCGCGAAUCAGC
This 1132-nucleotide ribosomal RNA is filed under the name 'Celosia sp.' fasciation phytoplasma. RNAcentral describes it as "bacterial SSU rRNA". It matches the Rfam family "Bacterial small subunit ribosomal RNA", at positions 215 to 1353 of the family's 1533-position model. Lineage: Bacteria; Bacillati; Mycoplasmatota; Mollicutes; Acholeplasmatales; Acholeplasmataceae. The record is from RNAcentral.